GCCUNGGGGUCUGGGAUAGCUGCGGGAAACUGCAGGUAACACCGGAUACGCACGAGAGUGGAAAGUUUACGCCCUGGGAUGGGCCCGCGUCGGAUUAGGUAGUUGGUGGGGUAACGGCCUACCAAGCCUGCGAUCCGUAACCGGUCUGAGAGGAUGAUCGGUCACACUGGGACUGAGACACGGCCCAGACUCCUACGGGAGGCAGCAGUGGGGAAUCUUGGACAAUGGGGGCAACCCUGAUCCAGCGACGCCGCGUGGGUGAUGAAGGCCUUCGGGUCGUAAAGCCCUUUUGCCGGGGAAGAUGAUGACGGUACCCGGAGAAGAAGCACCGGCUAACUCUGUGCCAGCAGCCGCGGUAAGACAGAGGGUGCUAGCGUUGUUCGGAAUUACUGGGCGUAAAGGGCGCGUAGGCGGCUCGUUUAGUCGGGUGUGAAAUCCCGGGGCUCAACCCCGGAACUGCAUUCGAUACUGGCGGGCUAGAGACCGAGAGAGGUGGGUGGAAUACCCAGUGUAGAGGUGAAAUUCGUAGAUAUUGGGUGGAACACCGGUGGCGAAGGCGGCUCACUGGCUCGGUUCUGACGCUGAGGCGCGAAAGCGUG
RNAcentral lists this ribosomal RNA (599 nucleotides) under bacterium enrichment culture clone T44x_EXP-D02_T3-_H02. RNAcentral describes it as "bacterial SSU rRNA". It matches the Rfam family "Bacterial small subunit ribosomal RNA", at positions 128 to 763 of the family's 1533-position model. The record is from RNAcentral.